Molecule: RNase P RNA, 380 nt
Filed under: Paracoccus tegillarcae
Lineage: Bacteria; Pseudomonadati; Pseudomonadota; Alphaproteobacteria; Rhodobacterales; Paracoccaceae
Description: Bacterial RNase P class A
Rfam family: Bacterial RNase P class A
About the family: Ribonuclease P (RNase P) is a ubiquitous endoribonuclease, found in archaea, bacteria and eukarya as well as chloroplasts and mitochondria. Its best characterised activity is the generation of mature 5'-ends of tRNAs by cleaving the 5'-leader elements of precursor-tRNAs.
Source: Rfam by way of RNAcentral
GCGGAUGGCCGGAUGACCGCGUGGGUGCGUGCACUCGCGAGGAAAGUCCGGACUCCACAAGGCAUCGGUGCCGGGUAACGCCCGGCGGGGGAAACCCCAGGGAAAGCGCCACAGAGAACAGACCGCCCGCCCUGCGGCGGGUAAGGGUGAAACGGUGGGGUAAGAGCCCACCGGGGGGCUGGUAACAGACCCCGCAUGGCAAGCCCCACCGGGAGCAAUGCCGAAUAGGGACCUUGUGCCCCGGCAACGGGGCAGGGCGGCCUUGCCUGAAAGGUCCGGGUUGGCAGCUAGAUCCCGUCAGCAAUGGCGGGCCCAGAGGAAUGGUCAUCCAGAGGGGGCAACCCCUUGGACAAAAUCCGGCUUACAGGCCAUCCGCGCGC